Molecule: long non-coding RNA, 312 nt
Organism: Stylophora pistillata
Lineage: Eukaryota; Metazoa; Cnidaria; Anthozoa; Scleractinia; Pocilloporidae
Source: RefSeq, a predicted model, not a curated record
GACAAUCAACAUUCAGCAAGCAGCAUUAGGACGGUAUCUUCGAUGGCCAAGUGGAGUUUCAUCCUUGUUUUCUCUAUUGCAGGUUUGUUGGAGAAUUCUAGACAAGCACGAGUGUGGGAAAAAGUCCAAGAGUUUCAUAAAGAACAAGUUCUCUCAGUUCCACAAGGACAUUAUGUGGAACUUAACUUUACCAUGCGCAGCCCGUAUCCAGGACGAUGUCUAAAGGGUUCUUAUCUUGAGAUUCGUGACGGUAGUAAUCAGUCAGCCAGUCUUCUUGGUGAAUUCUGUGGCGAUUUCAGAACUGAAGUAGUG